AUCUACGGCCAUGCCACCCUGAACACAUCCAAUCUUGUCUGAUCUUGGAAGCUAAGCAGGGUUGGGCCUGGUUAGUACUUGGAUGGGAGACCACUCAGGAAGACCAGGUACUGUAGGAG
This 119-nucleotide ribosomal RNA is filed under the name Pteropus alecto (black flying fox). The record is from RNAcentral. Lineage: Eukaryota; Metazoa; Chordata; Mammalia; Chiroptera; Pteropodidae.